RNAcentral lists this ribosomal RNA (522 nucleotides) under uncultured bacterium. RNAcentral describes it as "bacterial SSU rRNA". It matches the Rfam family "Bacterial small subunit ribosomal RNA", at positions 777 to 1297 of the family's 1533-position model. The record is from RNAcentral.
AAUAGAUACCCGGGUAGUCCACGCCGUAAACGAUGAGUGCUAAGUGUUAGAGGGUUUCCGCCCUUUAGUGCUGCAGCUAACGCAUUAAGCACUCCGCCUGGGGAGUACGGUCGCAAGACUGAAACUCAAAGGAAUUGACGGGGGCCCGCACAAGCGGUGGAGCAUGUGGUUUAAUUCGAAGCAACGCGAAGAACCUUACCAGGUCUUGACAUCCUCUGACAACUCUAGAGAUAGAGCGUUCCCCUUCGGGGGACAGAGUGACAGGUGGUGCAUGGUUGUCGUCAGCUCGUGUCGUGAGAUGUUGGGUUAAGUCCCGCAACGAGCGCAACCCUUGAUCUUAGUUGCCAGCAUUUAGUUGGGCACUCUAAGGUGACUGCCGGUGACAAACCGGAGGAAGGUGGGGAUGACGUCAAAUCAUCAUGCCCCUUAUGACCUGGGCUACACACGUGCUACAAUGGAUGGUACAAAGGGCUGCAAGACCGCGAGGUCAAGCCAAUCCCAUAAAACCAUUCUCAGUUCGGA